GAUGUCAAGAUGGUUGUCACACGCACCCGGAGACA
Molecule: transfer RNA, 35 nt
Filed under: Bubalornis albirostris
Lineage: Eukaryota; Metazoa; Chordata; Aves; Passeriformes; Ploceidae
Description: partial tRNA-Phe
Source: RNAcentral